CUCUUCGUUCCGUCUCCAACUGCUUUCGUCUGAAACCUCCGCCAUGGUUUCUGCAACACCUCCACCAUGAAAGAAGAACAACAGCUACGACAAAUGAGACCUAACAGCAGAUUUCAACCCAGCAACCAUUGCAAUUGCUUUCCAUUCCUUAUGCUACGGAACACCUGAGGCCUUAACAUCACUUUCCAACUCAGAAUCCUUUCGUCAGAGGAUCGUGCAUUCUAUAUUGGAGGACUUCAUGAACAUGUUAAAGGGUCGGAAUCUGCAAGCGCAGUACUACCACCUUCGGGGCCGUUCAAACAUCAUGCAGAUGGGGACGGAGUGCAAAGGAAUAGAUUCAGACUGUACUUUGGACCUUCUAAGAGAGGGAAAGAGCAUGCGGGCAAUACACCUCCUCCAAAGGAAUUCUAACCAUCAUAUUUCGGACCCUCUGAGAGUGGGAAAGGUCAUAAGAUCAAACAAUACAGCUCCUUUACGUGAUUAAAGCCGAUUAAGACUUAAAAAUGUUGUGUACGUUGUCUAUCUCAUCUCGACGAUGGAGUUUUUCUCCUUUUAUUUAAGCUCUAUAAUUAGCAAAGAACCAUUUUUUCCCAAUUUUUUUUAUCAAUUAUAAAAAUCAUUAGGCC
Long non-coding RNA from Papaver somniferum (opium poppy), 626 nucleotides. RefSeq lists it as uncharacterized. NCBI's taxonomy places the organism in Eukaryota, Viridiplantae, Streptophyta, Magnoliopsida, Ranunculales, Papaveraceae. The transcript has 3 exons. The record is from RefSeq and is a predicted model, not a curated record.